AACGAACGCUGGCGGCAUGCCUAACACAUGCAAGUCGAACGAGACCUCCGGGUCUACUGGCGCACGGGUGCGUAACGCGGGGGAACCUGCCCGUAUGCUCGGAAUAACACUCUGUAGGGGGUGCUAAUACAGGAUAACUUCCUCUGAUACAAGAUUUAACGCCCUUGGAUGGGCAGGCGUUGGUCUAGCUGGUCAGUAGGGUAAAAGCCUACCAAGGCGACGAUCCAUAGCUGGUCUGAGAGGAUGGUCAGCCACACUGGGUCUGAGACACGGCGCGGACUACUGCGGGAGGCAGCAGUGGGGAAUCUUGGACAAUCGGCGGAGGCCUGAUCCAGCAAUGCCGCGUGAGUGAUGAAGGCGUUAGAGUUGUGAAGCUCUUUUACCCGGGAUGGUAAUGACGGUACCGGGAGAAUAAGCACCGGCUAACUCCGUG
RNAcentral lists this ribosomal RNA (433 nucleotides) under uncultured bacterium. Its description in RNAcentral is "partial 16S ribosomal RNA". It matches the Rfam family "Bacterial small subunit ribosomal RNA", at positions 29 to 507 of the family's 1533-position model. The record is from RNAcentral.